RNAcentral lists this ribosomal RNA (678 nucleotides) under uncultured Lachnospiraceae bacterium. Its description in RNAcentral is "bacterial SSU rRNA". It matches the Rfam family "Bacterial small subunit ribosomal RNA", at positions 59 to 750 of the family's 1533-position model. Lineage: Bacteria; Bacillati; Bacillota; Clostridia; Lachnospirales; Lachnospiraceae. The record is from RNAcentral.
AAGUCGAACGAGCGAGAGAGAGCUUGCUUUCUCGAGCGAGUGGCGAACGGGUGAGUAACGCGUGAGGAACCUGCCUCAAAGAGGGGGACAACAGUUGGAAACGACUGCUAAUACCGCAUAAGCCCACGGGUCGGCAUCGACCAGAGGGAAAAGGAGUAAUCCGCUUUGAGAUGGCCUCGCGUCCGAUUAGCUAGUUGGUGAGGUAAUGGCCCACCAAGGCAACGAUCGGUAGCCGGACUGAGAGGUUGAACGGCCACAUUGGGACUGAGACACGGCCCAGACUCCUACGGGAGGCAGCAGUGGGGAAUAUUGCACAAUGGGGGAAACCCUGAUGCAGCGACGCCGCGUGGAGGAAGAAGGUCUUCGGAUUGUAAACUCCUGUUGUUGAGGAAGAUAAUGACGGUACUCAACAAGGAAGUGACGGCUAACUACGUGCCAGCAGCCGCGGUAAAACGUAGGUCACAAGCGUUGUCCGGAAUUACUGGGUGUAAAGGGAGCGCAGGCGGGAAGACAAGUUGGAAGUGAAAUCUAUGGGCUCAACCCAUAAACUGCUUUCAAAACUGUUUUUCUUGAGUAGUGCAGAGGUAGGCGGAAUUCCCGGUGUAGCGGUGGAAUGCGUAGAUAUCGGGAGGAACACCAGUGGCGAAGGCGGCCUACUGGGCACCAACUGACGCUGAG